This 762-nucleotide ribosomal RNA is filed under the name Clostridioides difficile. RNAcentral describes it as "bacterial SSU rRNA". It matches the Rfam family "Bacterial small subunit ribosomal RNA", at positions 1 to 789 of the family's 1533-position model. The record is from RNAcentral. Lineage: Bacteria; Bacillati; Bacillota; Clostridia; Peptostreptococcales; Peptostreptococcaceae.
UUUUAUUUGAGAGUUUGAUCCUGGCUCAGGAUGAACGCUGGCGGCGUGCCUAACACAUGCAAGUUGAGCGAUUUACUUCGGUAAAGAGCGGCGGACGGGUGAGUAACGCGUGGGUAACCUACCCUGUACACACGGAUAACAUACCGAAAGGUAUGCUAAUACGGGAUAAUAUAUUUGAGAGGCAUCUCUUGAAUAUCAAAGGUGAGCCAGUACAGGAUGGACCCGCGUCUGAUUAGCUAGUUGGUAAGGUAACGGCUUACCAAGGCGACGAUCAGGAGCCGACCUGAGAGGGUGAUCCGCCACAUUGGAACUGAGACACGGUCCAAACGCCUACGGGAGGCAGCAGUGGGGAAUAUUGCACAAUGGGCGAAAGCCUGAUGCAGCAACGCCGCGGGAGUGAUGAAGGCCUUCGGGUCGUAAAACUCUGUCCUCAAGGAAGAUAAUGACGGUACGUGAGGAGGAAGCCCCGGCUAACUACGUGCCAGCAGCCGCGGUAAUACGUAGGGGGCUAGCGUUAUCCGGAUUUACUGGGCGUAAAGGGUGCGUAGGCGGUCUUUCAAGUCAGGAGUGAAAGGCUACGGCUCAACCGUAGUAAGCUCUUGAAACUGGGAGACUUGAGUGCAGGAGAGGAGAGUGGAAUUCCUAGUGUAGCGGUGAAAUGCGUAGAUAUUAGGAGGAACACCAGUUGCGAAGGCGGCUCUCUGGACUGUAACUGACGCUGAGGCACGAAAGCGUGGGGAGCAAACAGGAUUAGAUACCCUG